Molecule: ribosomal RNA, 427 nt
Filed under: Lycorina sp. apicalisDHJ02
Lineage: Eukaryota; Metazoa; Arthropoda; Insecta; Hymenoptera; Ichneumonidae
Description: partial 16S ribosomal RNA
Source: RNAcentral
GUCUUUUUGAUUAUAAUUUAAAGUCAAAUCUGCUCAAUGAUAAUAUUUAAAUAGCUGCAGUAAAUUGACUGUACUAAGGUAGCAUAAUCAAUAGUUUUUUAAUUGAAAACUAGUAUGAAAGAUUUAAUGAGAAAUUAACUUUUUUUAUAUAAAAAAUAAAAUUUUUUUUUUAGUUAAAAAGCUAAAAUUUUAUCAAAAGACGAGAAGACCCUAUAGAUUUUUAUAAUUAAUGUUAUAAUUUAAAAUAAAUAAUUUUUUAUUAUAUAAUUAAUUAUUUUAUUGGGGUAAUUGUUAAAUUUAUUUAAUUUUAAUUUAUAAUAAAUAUUAAUUUUUAGAUUUAUGAUUCUAUAUUUAGAUAAAAGAUUAAAAUACCUUAGGGAUAACAGCGUUAUUUUUUUAUAAAGUUCUUAUUGAAAAAAAAGAUUGC